This 1221-nucleotide ribosomal RNA is filed under the name metagenome. RNAcentral describes it as "bacterial SSU rRNA". It matches the Rfam family "Bacterial small subunit ribosomal RNA", at positions 272 to 1498 of the family's 1533-position model. The record is from RNAcentral.
GGCUGCGAUGGAUAGCUGAUCUGAGAGGGUGAUCAGUCACACUGGGACUGAGAUACGGCCCAGACUCCUACGGGAGGCAGCAGUGAGGAAUAUUGCGCAAUGGAGGAAACUCUGACGCAGCAACGCCGCGUGGGGGAUGAAGCACUAUGGUGUGUAAACCUCUGUAGGUUGGGAAGAACGACAUGUAUUCGUAAGGGUAUGUGUUUGACGGUACCAUCAAAGUAAGCUCCGGCUAACUCCGUGCCAGCAGCCGCGGUAAUACGGGGGGAGCAAGCGUUGUCCGGAAUUACUGGGCGUAAAGGGCGUGUAGGUGGUUAAAUAAGUCAGAUGUGAAAGCUUCCGGCUUAACCGGAAAACUGCAUUUGAAACUGUUUAGCUUGAGUGCGAGAGAGGGUAGCGGAAUUCCCAGUGUAGCGGUGAAAUGCGUAGAUAUUGGGAAGAACACCAGUAGCGAAGGCGGCUACCUGGCUCGCAACUGACGCUAAUGCGCGAAAGCGUGGGGAGCAAACAGGAUUAGAUACCCUGGUAGUCCACGCUGUAAACGAUGGGCACUAGGUGUUGGUUGGUCAUAGACUAAUCAGUGCCGGAGCAAACGCAUUAAGUGCCCCGCCUGGGGAGUACGAUCGCAAGGUUGAAACUCAAAGGAAUUGACGGGGGCCCGCACAAGCGGUGGAGCAUGUGGUUUAAUUCGAUGCAACGCGAAGAACCUUACCGGGGUUUGACAUCAUAGCGGAGUUUGCAGAGAUGUAAAUGCCUUUCGGGGCGCUAUGGCAGGUGCUGCAUGGCUGUCGUCAGCUGUCGUGAGAUGUUGGGUUAAGUCCCGCAACGAGCGCAACCCUUGUCUCUAGUUACCAGCGAGUAAUGUCGGGGACUCUAGAGAGACUGCCGGUGACAAACUGGAGGAAGGUGGGGAUGACGUCAAGUCCUCAUGGCCCUUACAUCCCGGGCUACACACGUGCUACAAUGGCCGGUACAACGAGUCGCAAUACCGCGAGGUGGAGCCAAUCUCUAAAAACCGGUCUCAGUUCGGAUUGCAGUCUGUAACUCGACUGCAUGAAGCCGGAAUCGCUAGUAAUCGCGGAUCAGCACGCCGCGGUGAAUACGUUCCCGGGCCUUGUACACACCGCCCGUCACGCCAUGGGAGUCGGCAGUACCCGAAGCCGGUUCAAUAAGAAUCGUCGAAGGUAAGGCUGGUGACUGGGGCGAAGUCGUAACAAGGUA